GGUUUUUUNNNNNNNGCUNACNUCAUUCANUUUUUNAACGUGCNUUAAGGCCCUUCGGGGNUACACGAGACGGCGAACGGGUGAGUAACACGUGAGCAACCUGCCCCUGACUCCGGGAUAAGCGGUGGAAACGCCGUCUAAUACCGGAUACGACCCGCCACCUCAUGGUGGAGGGUGGAAAGUUUUUCGGUCAGGGAUGGGCUCGCGGCCUAUCAGCUUGUUGGUGGGGUAACGGCCUACCAAGGCGAUUACGGGUAGCCGGCCUGAGAGGGCGACCGGCCACACUGGGACUGAGACACGGCCCAGACUCCUGCGGGAGGCAGCAGUGGGGAAUAUUGCGCAAUGGGCGAAAGCCUGACGCAGCGACGCCGCGUGGGGGAUGACGGCCUUCGGGUUGUAAACCUCUUUUACCACCAACGCAGGCUCGGAGUUUUCUUCGGGUUGACGGUAGGUGGGGAAUAAGGACCGGCUAACUACGUGCCAGCAGCCGCGGUAAUACGUAGGGUCCGAGCGUUGUCCGGAAUUAUUGGGCGUAAAGAGCUCGUAGGCGGCGUGUCGCGUCUGCUGUGAAAGACCGGGGCUUAACUCCGGUUCUGCAGUGGAUACGGGCAUGCUAGAGGUAGGUAGGGGAGACUGGAAUUCCUGGUGUAGCGNUGAAAUGCGCAGAUAUCAGGAGGAACACCGGUGGCGAAGGCGGGUCUCUGGGCCUUACCUGACGCUGAGGAGCGAAAGCAUGGGGAGCGAACAGGAUUAGAUACCCUGGGUAGUCCNNUGCCGUAAACGUUGGGGCGCUAGGUGUGGGGACUUUUCCACGGUUUUCCGCGCCGUANCUUAACGCAUUAAGCGCCCC
This 850-nucleotide ribosomal RNA is filed under the name Nocardiopsis sp. MAD04. RNAcentral describes it as "partial 16S ribosomal RNA". It matches the Rfam family "Bacterial small subunit ribosomal RNA", at positions 71 to 870 of the family's 1533-position model. Lineage: Bacteria; Bacillati; Actinomycetota; Actinomycetes; Streptosporangiales; Nocardiopsidaceae. The record is from RNAcentral.